RNAcentral lists this unclassified non-coding RNA (332 nucleotides) under soil metagenome. Its description in RNAcentral is "partial contains 5.8S ribosomal RNA, internal transcribed spacer 2, and large subunit ribosomal RNA". The stretch from base 1 to 119 matches the Rfam family "5.8S ribosomal RNA", at positions 35 to 154 of the family's 154-position model. The record is from RNAcentral.
GAUGAAAACGCAGCGAAAUGCGAUAAGUAGUGUGAAUUGCAGAAUUCAGUGAAUCAUCGAAUCUUUGAACGCACAUUGCGCCCCUCGGUAUUCCGUGGGGCAUGCCUGUUCGAGCGUCAUUUACCCCUCAAGCACUGCUUGGUGUUGGGCGUCUGUCCCGCUUCGCGCGCGGACUCGCCCCAAAGGUAUUGGCAGCGGUCGUGCCAGCUUCUCGCGCAGCACAUUGCGCUUCUCGAGGCGGUCGAUCGGCGUCCACGAAGCUCACCUCCACCGUUUGACCUCGGAUCAGGUAGGGAUACCCGCUGAACUUAAGCAUAUCAAUAAGCGGAGGA